AGCAGCCGCGGUAAUUCCAGCUCCAAUAGCGUAUAUUAAAGUUGUUGCAGUUAAAAGCUCGUAGUUGAAUUUCGGGGUUCGUAGAUUGGUCGUGCCACGGGUAUGUACUGGUCUUACUGAUUCCUCCUUCCUGAUGAACCGUAAUGCCAUUAAUUUGGUGUUGCGGGGAGACUGGACUGUUACUUUGAAAAAUUGAGUGUUUAAAGCAGGCUUACGCUUGAAUACAUUAGCAUGGAAUAAUGAAAUAGGACGUUCGAUCCUAUUUUGUUGGUUUCUAGGAUUGACGUAAUGAUUAAUAGGGAUAGUUGGGGGCAUUAGUAUUCAAUUGUCAGAGGUGAAAUUCUUGGAUUUAUUGAAGACUAACUACUGCGAAAGCAUUUGCCAAGGAUGUUUUCAUUAAUCAAGAACGAAAGUUAGGGAUCGAAGACGAUCAGAUACCGUCGUAGUCUU
This 450-nucleotide ribosomal RNA is filed under the name uncultured Glomeromycotina. RNAcentral describes it as "SSU rRNA". It matches the Rfam family "Eukaryotic small subunit ribosomal RNA", at positions 569 to 1027 of the family's 1831-position model. Lineage: Eukaryota; Fungi; Glomeromycota. The record is from RNAcentral.